UAUAUCAAGUGGUUGACUUUCGGCUGUGUAGCAGCACAUCUUUCACCUCAUCAGAGCAUUCAACCUCCAAGUCUUGGAGCUAAGAAGGAGCCAAGCAUGGAGGUGGCGGAUCUGCUUCUUGUUUUAAGAGAAAAGGUGAGGAAUGAGCUGAAGAGAAAACAUAGAACAUACUGCCAUCUAUGCUAGGUUGAUGCGAUGGAGGCUGGUGUCUGGCCAGAUGACUUUGGCAGGAUCUAAAAUCACCUCAUUCAUUGGGAGGGCAACUUUGGACAAGGAGGCAGUAUGAAGAAUAUCCAUCAGCUUGUGAUGCGUGUCUGUUAUCUCCUGCAGGGGAAUUUGCAGCUCAUCUGCCACUCUCUUGAAUUUCACACACUAAAAAUCUACAAAUUAAACCUUUAAUGCUUAGACAAAGAUGGUCAUCACAUUAUCCUAGAAGCAUCCAAUUGUGAAUGAAUAUUUGAAGAUUAAAAAGAUACAGAGGAAAAUACAGCACAAUGCCGCAUUUCAACAAUGACAAGCAAUCUCACACACAAGGGAAAAAGAGGGGAAAACUCUUCAAUUUCAAAUUUCUGGGGAAACUUCAAGAGGGUGAGGAAAAUAUUAAGAAGUUAUGAAAAAUAACUUGGACAAUAGUAGGCACAUACAUAAUUUUAAUGGAAGAGAAGUGCUAAACUUGGAAACAACCUGUUUUUUUUUUCCUGUCAGAUUUGGCAUUUAUAACCUGAUUUCGGACUUGACUAAACAUCAAGGCUAAUGUUAUGUGUAGUUCUUUAUGAAAUGGUUCUCUUUACCAUGAAACUGUAAACACAUGCUACUGCUUUCAAUCUAAUUCCAAACUAUGUGUUUACAAUAUCUCUGUAAAGA
Molecule: long non-coding RNA, 864 nt
Organism: Mauremys reevesii (Reeves's turtle)
Lineage: Eukaryota; Metazoa; Chordata; Testudines; Geoemydidae
Exons: 4
Source: RefSeq, a predicted model, not a curated record